GGGCGACGUUGAGCAGCUGUCGGCAUAGUAGAGCUUGGACAAACUGCGUAAACUGGUAGGAUUCCUUACGGGACAUUACCAGUUUAACAAACAUCUACAUACGAUAGGGGUAGUAACAGACCCAAUCUGUCGUGGAUGCAAUGAAGAAGAGGAAACA
This is a long non-coding RNA of Zophobas morio, 157 nucleotides long. RefSeq lists it as uncharacterized. Lineage: Eukaryota; Metazoa; Arthropoda; Insecta; Coleoptera; Tenebrionidae. The record is from RefSeq and is a predicted model, not a curated record. The transcript has 2 exons.